CCUUUCGUCAAAUCCUAC
Molecule: small nuclear RNA, 18 nt
Filed under: Arabidopsis thaliana (thale cress)
Lineage: Eukaryota; Viridiplantae; Streptophyta; Magnoliopsida; Brassicales; Brassicaceae
Description: snRNA_16783
Source: RNAcentral